GGAUGCGAUCAUACCUGCACUAACGUACUAGAUCCCAUCAGAACUCUGAAGUUAAGCGUGCUUGGACGAGAGUAGUAGUAGGAUGGGUGAUCGCCUGGGAAAUCCUCAUGUUGCAUCCC
Molecule: ribosomal RNA, 119 nt
Organism: Lycium barbarum (goji berry)
Lineage: Eukaryota; Viridiplantae; Streptophyta; Magnoliopsida; Solanales; Solanaceae
Source: RefSeq, a predicted model, not a curated record